GCUCAAAUUUGAAAUCUCCCUAACGGGCGAAUUGUAGUUGAUAGAAACGUUUUCGGGGGUAGGCUGGGCACAAGUUGCCUGGAAAGGCACAUCAUAGAGGGUGAGAAUCCCGUCUGUGGUCCAGCUCUGCUCCUAUGUGAUACGUUUUCUAAGAGUCGGGUUGUUUGGGAUUGCAGCCCUAAAUGGGUGGUAAAUACCAUCUAAAGCUAAAUACUAGCGAGAGACCGAUAGCGAACAAGUACCGUGAGGGAAAGAUGAAAAGAACUUUGAAAAGAGAGUUAAACAGUACGUGAAAUUGUCAGAAGGGAACGGCUUGAAACCAGUCUUGCGUCUGGAAUUCAGCCUCUCUAACGAGGGGUGCAAUUCGCUAGAUGCAGGUCAGCGUCAGUUUGAGGAGGGGGAAAAAGACUAGAGAAGGUAGCCUUCGGGUGUUAUAGCUCUUGUUUCUACCCCUCUUUGGACUGAGGGCCGCGGCGUGAUACGGGGUUGAUGGGUUCCGGUGACCUACUGGUAAACUGCAUGCAGAUUGCUGGCAAGGCUCGCUUGAUUCCCUUCAGCUCCACACGUCUAGGAUGCUGACGAAAUGGUCUCAAACCACCCGUCUUGAAACACGGACCAAGGAGUCUAACGUAUAUGCGAGUGUAUGGGUGUCAAACCCCUGCGCGUAAUGAAAGUGAAACUGGUGUGAACCUUCGGGUGCAACAUCGACCGGUCUGGAUUUUUUUGAUAGAUCUGAGUAAGAGCAUAUACGCUAGGACCCGAAAGAUGGUGAACUAUGCCUGAAUAGGGUGAAGCCAGAGG
This 801-nucleotide ribosomal RNA is filed under the name Cladochytrium replicatum. RNAcentral's name for it is "eukaryotic LSU rRNA". It matches the Rfam family "Eukaryotic large subunit ribosomal RNA", at positions 107 to 858 of the family's 3401-position model. The record is from RNAcentral. Lineage: Eukaryota; Fungi; Chytridiomycota; Chytridiomycetes; Cladochytriales; Cladochytriaceae.